AUUGCAAGCUCAAGUUGCGCGUGCGCUGAGAGGCGUGUGCGCAUGUAUGUAAACUAGCGGCCUUUUCCUAUUGAGGGCAGACGAGACGCGUCUUUUCUGCUAAGAAAACAUAUAUUAUAGUUAGUGUAUACAUAAACAGCAGCCCUGCCCCGACGCGGCCCAACCCCAAGCGGAGCCGUCAUGUGGCAGGAGGCCCGCAAACAUGAGCGCAAACUCCGUGGGAUGAUGGUGGACUACAAGCGUCGUGGGGAGCGACGCAGAGAGUACUAUGAGAAAAUUAAAAAGGAUCCAGCCCAGUUUCUUCAGGUUCACGGGCGAGCAUACAAAAUCCACCUGGAUUCAGCGGUAGCCCUGGCAGCUGAGAGUCCCAUCAACAUGAUGCCUUGGCAAGGAGAUACCAAUAACAUGAUUGAUAGAUUUGAUGUCAGAGCACACCUGGACUACAUCCCAACCUAUACACCACCUCUUCUGAUCACACCCACCCCUGAACAGGAAUCUGAAGAGAGGAAAUGCAAUUAUGAGCGGUAUAGAGGUUUGGUGCAGAAUGACUUUGCUAACAUCUCUGAGGAGCAGUGUUUGUACCAGAUAUAUGUUGAUGAGCUCUACGGUGGCCUGCUGAGACCAAAUGAGGAUGAAAAGAAAAAACCUACUGAGAAGAAAGCUCAGAUUGGAUAUACCUAUGAAGACAGCACAGUGACAGAAUCGCAUGAUCCAGAGAAGGAAAACGACGAUGACUCGGAAAACAGCGAGUCUGAGGAAGACGAGGUCAUCCCUGACAUUGACGUUGAGGUGGAUGUCGAUGAACUGACCCCAGAACAGAACACUGAGAUCAACAAGAUGGGCACCACUUAUGGCAUGGCAGACGGGGACUUUGUUUGGAUGUUGAGGAAGGACAAGGAGGAAGUGGAGGCCAUUAAACACGCUAAAGCUUUGGAGGCGGAGAAGGCCAUGUAUUCUGGUCGGCGUUCUCGCAGGCAGCGACGAGAGUUUAGAGAAAAAUAUAUGAAAGGACGACAGAUCAGCCCACCCAGCUAUGCCAGAAGAGACAGUCCCACAUAUGACCCAUACAAACGGCCACAGUCAGAUUCAAGUUCAGAGUCCCGCUCUCGAUCCCGAUCUCCAGGCAAUGAUAAAAUCACCUUCAUUACUAGCUUCGGGGGCAGUGAUGAGGAGGGAGCCGCAGCCACGCAAGCCCUGCCUGCGGCACCGUCAAGCCACACCUCCUCCAACACCGCAGGUCAUAGCAGGGGCUCCCGUCGAAGACGCUCAUCCUCAAGUCACUCAUCCUAUUCCUCCCGCUCCUCUUCGCAUCGCUCCUCACGUUCAUCCUCCCGUUCCCGCCGGAGUCGACGUUCUCGUGGAGGCAGAGACCGGGACAGCCGCUAUUCGCGGUCUCGUUCUCGCUCUCGUCGGCGCUCUGAUUCCCGUUCACGGCAACGCAGUGGAGGUGGCGGCUCGAGGAGACGAUACGACAGGACACGAUCUCGUUCUGCAGAUCGGGACAGGGGAAGAGACCGAAACCGAGACAGAGAACGAGACCGGGAUAGAGGGAGGUGCUACACGGGCCGCAGACGAUCCAGGUCUCGCUCACACUCGCGUUCAGGUGAUCGUUAUCGGCGAAGGAGUCGCAGCUCGGCGUACAGGAGGGGUGGCAGCAUCAGUCAAAGCCCCUCCCGCUCACCCGCCGCAAGCCGUAGCUCCUCCCCCUCUUCCCGUUCUGCUCAGCCUGCCUGUGCUUCUGGUGACAAGCUGAGAAAGCCUGACACUGCGGGUGGUAAAGAGACUGGAGCUGCCAAAGUCAGUAAGAAUUUAAUAUAUCUCGAAUUUGUUGCUAAAGACUUCGCCUCCCUCACCCCUGACAGGCUGAUGCAGUUAGCAAUCACGCUGGGGCUCUUGCCCAUCUCUUGUGCCCUUGGCUCUACAGAGAGCCUUUGAUCUCAUUGGAAAUGCUUUUGAUUAGGUCAUCAGUUGUCCUGGCGCACAAGGUGGCUGCAGUGCCCUGUCUUUACAGAUUUUAAGCAGAAGUUACCUGAAUGACCUUAUAUGCCUUUUGGAACGUGUAUAAUGCAAGGUGUCUGAGAGUGAUGUUUUUAUGUAUUUAAGGAAAGAUACAUUUGACUUUAUUUAACCCAAUAAUGGUUAUCUGAACUGCUGGGUUGUUGAUAGACACCCUGGGAAUGAUGUGAUGAAAGGGAAACUACAAAGGUAUAAUGGAUGUUAUGAGGUUGUCUAAGCAGUUAGGGAGCUCAGGUGGUGCUUCUGCUCUGGGCUUGUCAAGACAGGCAGAGGAACUUCACUCACUUACACACAAACACACCUGCAUAAGUCAAUACACAUUGUCCUUGUGGGUUGAACAGAUUACCGCUAUGAAAAGCAGAACCAUCUGAAAUGGCUACAGUUGCCAUUUUGUCACGGUUUCACCAAGUUGCCAUGCCUGACCCGGUAAAAGAUAAUAUAGCUUUGUACUAUUUGUUCAGUGUUUUUUUGAUUGUGUCUAAAUUGCUACCAUCAUUUGCCUGUUCACACCUUGCCCCUACUGCCCGCACAAACAAAUACCUGCAACAAAUACAGGCAAAAAGGACAACCGGUGAUGUGAAAUCUGACCACCUGUUGAUGUUAAACAGGCAGCGAAUUAAUGAUCUGUAUGUGGUCUAAAAGCACUCCCCCAUCUGCAUGAAUCUACCUUGGCAUAGAUAACUUGUGCUCGGUUUUUGUGCAGUUGCCUGAUCUCUUUAUUCCCGCCUGUUCUAAAGUCUGUGUGUCUA
Paramisgurnus dabryanus is the source of this 2765-nucleotide non-coding RNA. NCBI's taxonomy places the organism in Eukaryota, Metazoa, Chordata, Actinopteri, Cypriniformes, Cobitidae. The record is from RefSeq and is a predicted model, not a curated record.